This 253-nucleotide ribosomal RNA is filed under the name uncultured bacterium. Its description in RNAcentral is "partial 16S ribosomal RNA". It matches the Rfam family "Bacterial small subunit ribosomal RNA", at positions 524 to 776 of the family's 1533-position model. The record is from RNAcentral.
UACGUAGGGUGCAGGCGUUGUUCGGAAUCAUUGGGCGUAAAGCGCGUGUAGGCGGCCUAUUAAGUCUGGUGUGAAAGCCCGGAGCUCAACUCCGGAAGUGCACUGGAUACUGGUAGGCUAGAGGGCGAGAGAGGAUGGUGGAAUUCCUGGUGUAGGGGUGAAAUCCGUAGAUAUCAGGAGGAACAUCAGUUGCGAAGGCGGCCAUCUGGCUCGCUUCUGACGCUCAGACGCGAAAGCGCGGGGAGCAAACAGG